UACGUAGGGGGCAAGCGUUGUCCGGAUUUAUUGGGCGUAAAGAGCGUGUAGGCGGCUAUACAGGUCCGCUGUGAAAACUCGAGGCUCAACUUCGAGCUGUCGGUGGAAACUUUCUGGCUAGAGUCCGGAAGAGGAGAAUGGAAUUCCUGGUGUAGCGGUGAAAUGCGCAGAUAUCAGGAAGAACACCCGUGGCGAAGGCGGUUCUCUGGGACGGUACUGACGCUGAGACGCGAAAGCGUGGGGAGCGAACAGG
This 253-nucleotide ribosomal RNA is filed under the name uncultured bacterium. Its description in RNAcentral is "partial 16S ribosomal RNA". It matches the Rfam family "Bacterial small subunit ribosomal RNA", at positions 524 to 776 of the family's 1533-position model. The record is from RNAcentral.